UCUAUCUUUUCCUAAUUCAGCUAAACAACACAACUAACAGUGAUGAGAAAUCAAUGAAUACUACUACUUAAUGGAAAAAAGAAAGGAUCUUUAUAUCAGUGGACAAUAUUACCCACUGGAAAUAUUGGGCUUUUGCUAAUGCUGGUGUGGGGUCCUUAGCUGAACUGCUCACUGGUGUGAAAGGGAUUUAUUCAGCAUUCUUCUGAAAAUAAUAGAUGAUUAACUGUUCAGUACUGAGCUGGUUAAGAAAUGACCAAUUUGAGUGGCUAUAUAAUAUUUAACACUUUCCAUGUUUAAAAUGUUAUUUACGUAACUAGUCUUCACAGUAGGCUUGUGAGUAAAGUAAGUACCAUCUCACUUUUCUUUUUUUAUCAAUAAUGGGGAAACUGAUGCAGAGUAGCUGCCCAAAGCCACAGAAAAGAUUCCAUGUCACAGCAGAGUUAGAGCUUAAGUGUGUGAAUUACAUUCUCAGUCAGCUACAUAAACUACUACACCUGACCCCUCUCAAAGUCAGUGGGAGUUUGGGGCUCAUGAGGAAUGAGCCCCAAUCACUCUCCUGCUUUAGUACAACCAUCAUACAGACUGUGGCAUUUUACCAACUAUGGAAUGAAUUGCAAGCUGUAAUAUAUACAUUGAUUAGUCAGCACUUGUGGAUUUCCAAAAGCUCCACCCACAGUAAAGUUAGUAAUAUUUAUUAUUCCCCUGAUCUUGCAAGUUGGAAUGAGCCUAAAAUGACUUUUAGUUAUCAAAAUACAGCAGGGUCACUUGAGCUCUUCCCAGGUGGACAAAACAUAUUGCUUGCACACAACCUCGGUGAAUGAACUGGCAAAGCUUUGUGAGGCUUGAGGAGGAAAAUAUUCUCCCUGUCCUACCAGGCCAUGAAGCUACUGCACAUCCACUGCUACAUGUUCAAGGCUGUAGCUCCCUAAGCAGGUGGUAUGGGUUAACCAAUCCAGCUGUGUAGUUGCCACCCACCAAACCCUCUGCCUUCUAGAGUGGAAAGAGUACAGGUCUCUGGUGUGCAGAUGGUGUGAACUGCUCUGCAUCCUCUCUUUAACUUCACAGUGGAAUUGUGGGAAGUGGUGCAUGGCACUUUAUUGGAUUGAAGGACCCUUAAAAAGAGCCUUAAAAAAAGACCCUUCUGUGUGGGUCUUUCAGAUGGGCCCUUAAAUUGCUUUCAUGAUCUGGAAAAUGAGAAUUGUAUCAUGGAGAAUCAAUGACUCACAAAGCAAAUUUACUCGGUUCACAGCUGAGAAAGAUGUUUUUUUAACUGCCAGACCUGCAAACUCAGCCUUGCAGUCAAGCUCCAGGCCAAAAUUCUACUUGAAGUUCCAUCUUUGCAACACUAUUGUUUGAAAUAGGGUUGCAAAGAAAUACAUUAGGAAAGAAUUACCUCUGAAAUUGGAGUGUGGUUAACAAUUCUGUUAAUCGGGUGUAUAAAUCAUAGAAAGAAAGAAUAAUUUCUGGCUCACUCUCACAGCUCUGUUAGCUAUGGAGUGCUAACAGGAGAAAAAUAGUAAAAACAUAUUUUUGUCACUAGUGUAAAAGGAUGUGAUUCUGAGUUAACACAGAAAUCAGCCUUUUGGGUAAGAGGCUACCAUUUGCACAUAUCACUUUCCAUAGUAGAACCACACUUAAAAAACAGUGGCUCAAUCCUGCUUCCAUUAAAGCCAAUGAUAGUUUUGACAUUGAUUUCAGCUGCAGUUCAACUUGGUCCCAAGGUCUGGUUUGUUUUGUAAAAAUAUUAAUGGGCUUAAGACACUUUUCCCAAUAUAAAAAUUAAUGGGCCCAAAUAUAGCAUUUUCACUUGUGUGCUUGACCAUAUUUCUCCCCCCUUCCCCCCCCAGUAAUUGACAGUAUGCUGACUAGUUGUCACUCUUCACCCCAGGAUACUUGAAUUUCAAUAAUUCUCUAUGCCUAUAGUUUUAAAAUAACGUAGGGGAUCCUUUAGGAUGAGAAACACUACGUAAAUGUACAAUAUUAUUGUUUCUGUAUAGUUAAUUUUUAUGUUCUAAAAGUUGCCUUUUAAGACUCAAUUUUAAGGCUUAGACAGCCCUAUUUUGUUCUCUCUCUAGGUGUGUGUGUGUGUGUGUGUGUGUAGUAUAUAUGUGUAUGUAUGUAUAUAUCUAUAUAUUCAAAUCUAUUGUUAGAUACGUGAAAUGUUUUCAAGUAUGUUCAAUCAAGAUUAUAUAGUAAAUGAAUACUUUAUUAACACUAUUUAAUUGAGACAGUCAAAGCAGGACAGUUGAACUGUCAUAGCCAUUUGAUCUUCUAAGUUUUGACAUCCUUAUUACAGAAUUUGUCUUGUGCAAAAGAAAUAUAUACCUUCUGAAUCCUAAACUAGAAAAUGCCAGGUUUACUACUUUAAUUCACUAUAUUUGGAAAUAUAGAGGAUCUUAUUGGGUUUGUAAAGGAAGAAUUCCUAAGCAGUUUCUACUUAUACUGGAUAUUUAAAUAUAGACACUAUUCUGGAAACAAAUAUGCAGUUUACACGUAAUUACUAACACUACCUGGUUUAUUUUUUUAUGAAUUAGCUGAAUUACAGUUCAUCUGCAGAGGCAAUGCUUAUCUAUUGAUGAAAUAAAGCUGAGUUUGCAUAGCA
RNAcentral lists this long non-coding RNA (2602 nucleotides) under Chrysemys picta bellii (western painted turtle). Its description in RNAcentral is "lncRNA (ENSCPBG00000021244.1)". Lineage: Eukaryota; Metazoa; Chordata; Testudines; Emydidae. The record is from RNAcentral.